GUGCCAGCCGCCGCGGUAAUACCGGCAGCUCGAGUGAUGGCCGAUUUUAUUGGGCCUAAAGCGUUCGUAGCCGGCCACACAAGUCCGUCGGGAAAUCCACUCGCCCAACGAGUGGGCGUCCGACGGAAACUGCACAGCUUGGGACCGGAAGGCUCGAAGGGUACGUUCGGGGUAGGAGUGAAAUCCCAUAAUCCCGCACGGACCACCGAUGGCGGAAGCACUUCGAGAAAACGGAUCCGACAGUGAGGGACGAAAGCCAGGGUCUCCAACCGGAUUAGAUACCCGUGUAGUCC
This 293-nucleotide ribosomal RNA is filed under the name uncultured bacterium. RNAcentral's name for it is "partial 16S ribosomal RNA". It matches the Rfam family "Archaeal small subunit ribosomal RNA", at positions 455 to 747 of the family's 1478-position model. The record is from RNAcentral.